This 465-nucleotide ribosomal RNA is filed under the name uncultured Klebsiella sp. RNAcentral describes it as "bacterial SSU rRNA". It matches the Rfam family "Bacterial small subunit ribosomal RNA", at positions 338 to 795 of the family's 1533-position model. Lineage: Bacteria; Pseudomonadati; Pseudomonadota; Gammaproteobacteria; Enterobacterales; Enterobacteriaceae. The record is from RNAcentral.
CCUACGGGUGGCAGCAGUGGGGAAUAUUGCACAAUGGGCGCAAGCCUGAUGCAGCCAUGCCGCGUGUGUGAAGAAGGCCUUCGGGUUGUAAAGCACUUUCAGCGGGGAGGAAGGCGUUAAGGUUAAUAACCUUGUCGAUUGACGUUACCCGCAGAAGAAGCACCGGCUAACUCCGUGCCGGCAGCCGCGGUAAUACGGAGGGUGCAAGCGUUAAUCGGAAUUACUGGGCGUAAAGCGCACGCAGGCGGUCUGUCAAGUCGGAUGUGAAAUCCCCGGGCUCAACCUGGGAACUGCAUUCGAAACUGGCAGGCUAGAGUCUUGUAGAGGGGGGUAGAAUUCCAGGUGUAGCGGUGAAAUGCGUAGAGAUCUGGAGGAAUACCGGUGGCGAAGGCGGCCCCCUGGACAAAGACUGACGCUCAGGUGCGAAAGCGUGGGGAGCAAACAGGAUUAGAUACCCGAGUAGUC